UCCCGGCGGGGACAGUAAGCAAUACUGUUAGCGGCGGACGGGUGAGGAAUACAUAGGAAUUUGCCUCAGAGCGGGGGAUAGCCCAGGGAAACUUGGAGUAAUACCGCAUGAUGUCGAAAGACCAAAGCUGGGGACCGCAAGGCCUAGCACUCUGAGAGAAGCCUAUGUCUGAUUAGCUAGUUGGUAGGGUAAUGGCCUACCAAGGCGACGAUCAGUAACUGGUCUGAGAGGACGAUCAGUCACACUGGAACUGAGACACGGUCCAGACUCCUACGGGAGGCAGCAGUGGGGAAUAUUGGACAAUGGGCGCAAGCCUGAUCCAGCAAUGCCGCGUGUGUGAAGAAGGCCUUCGGGUUGUAAAGCACUUUAAGCAGGGAAGAAAAAAUUCAAGCUAAUAUCUUGAGUCUUGACGGUACCUGAAGAAUAAGCACCGGCUAACUCUGUGCCAGCAGCCGCGGUAAUACAGAGGGUGCGAGCGUUAAUCGGAUUUACUGGGCGUAAAGCGUGUGUAGGUGGUUGUUCAAGUCGGUUGUGAAAUCCCCGGGCUCAACCUGGGAACUGCUUCCGAGACUGAACGACUAGAGUACGGUAGAGGGCGGUGGAAUUUCCGGUGUAGCGGUGAAAUGCGUAGAUAUCGGAAGGAACACCAAUGGCGAAGGCAGCCGCCUGGGCCUGUACUGACACUGAGACACGAAAGCGUGGGGAUCAAACAGGGUUAGAUACCCUGGUAGUCCACGCCGUAAACGAUGAGAACUUGACGUCGGUUUGCUCUGCAAGUCGGUGUCGUAGCUAACGCGAUAAGUUCUCCGCCUGGGGAGUACGGCCGCAAGGUUGAAACUCAAAGGAAUUGACGGGGGCCCGCACAAGCGGUGGAGUAUGUGGUUUAAUUCGAUGCAACGCGAAGAACCUUACCUGGGCUUGAC
Molecule: ribosomal RNA, 923 nt
Filed under: uncultured bacterium
Lineage: Bacteria
Description: bacterial SSU rRNA
Rfam family: Bacterial small subunit ribosomal RNA
Source: RNAcentral